AUACUACUCCCUCCGUUCGGAAUUACUUGUCGCAGAAAUGGAUGUAUCUAGACAUAUUUUAGUUCUAGAUACAUCCAUUUCCAAGACAAGAAUUCCGAACGGAGGGAGUACAUA
This is a non-coding RNA of Triticum aestivum (bread wheat), 114 nucleotides long. The record is from Rfam. Lineage: Eukaryota; Viridiplantae; Streptophyta; Magnoliopsida; Poales; Poaceae.